GAGUUUGAUCAUGGCUCAGAACGUACGCUGGCGGCACGCCUAAUACAUGCAAGUCGAACGAAGUAGCAAUACUUAGUGGCAGACGGGUGAGUAACAUGUAGGUAUCUUCCCAUUGGUGAGGAAUAACACGAGGAAACUUGUGCUAAUACCUCAUAAGUCUUUACGGAGAAAGCUUUAUGCGCCGAUGGAUGAGCCUGCACUUGAUUAGUUUGUUGGUAGGGUAAUGGCCUACCAAGACAAUGAUCAAUAGCUGAUUUGAGAGGAUGAUCAGCCACAUUGGGACUGAGACACGGCCCAAACUCCUACGGGAGGCAGCAGUAGGGAAUCUUGCACAAUGGGGGAAACCCUGAUGCAGCGAUGCCGCGUGAGUGAAGAAGGCCUUUGGGUUGUAAAGCUCCUUCGUCGGGGAAGAAAAUGACUGUACCCGAAUAAGAAGGUCCGGCUAACUUCGUGCCAGCAGCCGCGGUAAUACGAAGGGACCUAGCGUAGUUCGGAAUUACUGGGCUUAAAGAGUUCGUAGGCGGUUAAAAAAGUUGGUGGUGAAAUCCCAGAGCUUAACUCUGGAACUGCCAUCAAAACUUUUUAGCUAGAGUAUGAUAGAGGAAAGCAGAAUUUCUAGUGUAGAGGUGAAAUUCGUAGAUAUUAGAAAGAAUACCAAUUGCGAAGGCAGCUUUCUGGAUCAUUACUGACGCUGAGGAACGAAAGCAUGGGUAGCGAAGAGGAUUAGAUACCCUCGUAGUCCAUGCCGUAAACGAUGUGUGUUAGACGUUGGAAAUUUAUUUUCUGUGUCGCAGCGAAAGCAAUAAACACACCGCCUGGGGAGUACGACCGCAAGGUUAAAACUCAAAUGAAUUGACGGGGACCCGCACAAGUAGUGGAGCAUGUGGUUUAAUUCGAAGAUACGCGCAGAACCCUUACCAACACUUGACAUGUUCGUCGCGACUUUAAGAGAUUAAAGUUUUCGGUUCGGCCGGACGAAACACNGGUGCUGCAUGGCUGUCGUCAGCUCGUGUUC
Molecule: ribosomal RNA, 1015 nt
Filed under: uncultured bacterium
Lineage: Bacteria
Description: bacterial SSU rRNA
Rfam family: Bacterial small subunit ribosomal RNA
Source: RNAcentral